This 240-nucleotide ribosomal RNA is filed under the name Clitopilus scyphoides var. intermedius. RNAcentral's name for it is "partial large subunit ribosomal RNA". The record is from RNAcentral. Lineage: Eukaryota; Fungi; Basidiomycota; Agaricomycetes; Agaricales; Entolomataceae.
AAACGCUUGAAGUCAGUCGCGUUGGCUGGGAAUCAGCCUUGCUUUUGCUUGGUGUACUUCCUUGUUAACGGGUCAGCAUCAAUUUUGACCGGUGGAAAAAGGCCAGAUGAAUGUGGCAUCUUCGGAUGUGUUAUAGCAUCUGGUUGUAUACAUCGGUUGGGAUUGAGGAACUCAGCACGCCGCAAGGUCGGGGUUCGCCCACGUUCGUGCUUAGGAUGCUGGCAUAAUGGCUUUAAUCGA